CGGACUACGUACCUAACCCAAACACCACCGGUAGAUAUGAAGGUCUGACCAAACACAGGGCACAGGGCUCGGCGGCGACGUGCUAACGGAGAAGAAGGAGCGUGGGGCGGAGAAGGCCGAGCGUGCAUCGUGGAGGGGAUGGAGCGUCGAAGAGGGACGAGGCGGAGUGGCGACAAGUUAAGCUGCUUGGGGAGCUGGGACCGGCCUGCGCUACCCGUCCAGCGGCCGUCGGGGUUGGGGCUGGGGGUCCAGCGGCUGUCGUAGUUAGUGCUGGGGGACCAGCGGCCGACAGGGUUAGGGUUGGGGGUUCCUCCGCCUACGCAGUUAGGGCCGCGAGUCCCACGGCCUACACAGCAGCUGUCGUCUAGACUCCUCGUGUUCCCACUUGAGAACGCACGGUAUUUUAAACUCUUCCGAUUACCGGGCCUAGAACUCCUCGUGUUCCGACGAUCACUCGAGGUACACCUUGGUGGUUUCACGUUCUUUUCCUUCUCUUCAUCCGUCUCAUCGCCGUUCGAAGUACGUAGAGUUUCUGACUACCUGUCACUCGAUCGACAGAUGAAAAUUUUACAGGACUACAGGUAUAUAGUUAUAGGUGACGGGUGUCUUUAGUUCAUUUUUACUGAUUUACCAAAAAUGCAUGCUCUAGCGGGUCAUAAGAUAUUAUUACUCUAGCGGGUCGGUUUUUACGGGUAUAUUUUUUCUGACUACCUGUCACUCGAUCGACAGACGAUAAAUUUAUUUCUAGAGUCUUAGACGUUCGACUGUAAAAAAGAGAAUAUACCCAAGACGAUCGACAGACGAUAAAUUUAUUUCUAGAGUUUUAGACGUUCGACUGUAAAAAAGAGAAUAUACUAGAGUCUUUUUCAACAGGUUCCUGUACAAGAUACUUCGAUGUUUCAAGUCACAACGUCAUAACGUCUGACUUUUAAACAAGAUACUUCGGACUGAACCGCCGGUUGUAUAGGAGCAGCGAACAGAUGAACUAGUCAUCAACACACAAGAGCGGUAGCAGCUCUGAGACGUUGAAAUAUAUAGACACCCGUCUCAAUUGGUUGUCUACCUUGUGUGAAAUUAACAACAGAACCAAACGUCUCUUCCGGUUAAACCGAGGGCCCGAGUCGACGUGGGCACGGCUGCUUUUUUUAGUUUUGUUUAUGAUCUUUUUAAGUUUUUUAAGGUUGAAAAAAACACACCAUCUGUUAAACUACGCACUCCAAGCGACGUUUUAAGUUGAGCAAACCUGUAAACUCGUAGACAUCUUUUUUUUCUGUUUUAACCCCAGGUAUUUUUUCAAAUGACAAGUGCUUGACAAAACUGGGCUAAACAGAAAAAACGACUCUCGACGAGUUUACAGGUUUACUCAACUUUAAACGUCUCCAGGAGUGCGUUGUUUAAUAGAUCAUGUGUUAAAAAAAACCUAAAAAAACUAAAAAAAAUCAUAAAUAAAACUUAAAAAAAGACUCGCCCUCGUAGACUCGGACCCGAGUCUGCGCCUAAAAGCACCAAACGUGAGAAUAAUAGGAGAGUAUUUAGCUAAGUAGGCAUAUACAUUGACUUUGAAAUCACCUAAGCUAGAUAAUUAGGGAUAUACAUUGACUUCCAAAUCACCAGCUAGUUAAGUAGGAUAUACAAUG
This 1637-nucleotide ribosomal RNA is filed under the name Triticum aestivum (bread wheat). RNAcentral's name for it is "partial small subunit ribosomal RNA". The record is from RNAcentral. Lineage: Eukaryota; Viridiplantae; Streptophyta; Magnoliopsida; Poales; Poaceae.